Silurus meridionalis is the source of this 642-nucleotide long non-coding RNA. RefSeq lists it as uncharacterized. The transcript is spliced from 7 exons. The record is from RefSeq and is a predicted model, not a curated record. NCBI's taxonomy places the organism in Eukaryota, Metazoa, Chordata, Actinopteri, Siluriformes, Siluridae.
CUAGAAUAAAAAAACGCGCAUGCGCAAGAUUUCUUUCUUUGCAGAAUGGGUUCUGCCACGGAGAUUUUCAGGAGCUGCGGAAUUGCCAAAGCAGUAUGUUUUAACAUGUUGAAUUGCACCUGUACAGGUAACCCAGAAAACCAAGGUCAUGGGUGAUCUAGAAAAGAAAUGAACUACUGGAAAGAAGUAACCUGAUCAUCGCUGUCUCAAGACAUAAUCAAGUAUUAGAUGGAGAGUGAGGAGCAUGGAUCUGAAUUGGCUACAGUUUGUGUUGUCGAGAAAUGGAACAUGGACGCUUCAGUAUAUGAGACUUCUGUGACAAUGUAGGAGCGAGUUAACGAUUGAGUUUUGGAGAAGACUGGCAUGAAAAUGCAUUUUAAAAAAAGUUCGCAGCUCCUGGUGCAUAGUUGUAUACAAACUGCAAGAUCUGCUGGUGGAACUCUUUCAAGGUCAAGUCUCGUCUGUGCAGGGACUCCAGGUCACACAGAUCACAGGGAAACACUGCAUCAGGUGGAAUAACAAGCGUAGAGGCACCUACGUUCCCAAGACAGUCUCAAAAGCUUGUUCUUGACUCAGAAAUAAAUGUAUUUAAUAAUGAUGUGAUUAAUGUUCAUUCAUAUCUAAAUAAAGUUGUGAAUAAAA